Molecule: ribosomal RNA, 383 nt
Filed under: uncultured eukaryote
Lineage: Eukaryota
Description: partial 18S ribosomal RNA
Rfam family: Eukaryotic small subunit ribosomal RNA
Source: RNAcentral
CAAUAGCGUAUAUUAAAGUUGUUGCAGUUAAAAAGCUCGUAGUUGGAUUUCUGGUGGGAGCGAUCGGUCUGGCGCUUAGCGCGAGUACUUGCAUCGUCUCCGGCCAUCCUUGGGGAGAGUCUGUCUGGCAUUAGGUUGUCGGGCAGAGGAUCCUCAUCGUUUACUGUGAAAAAAUUAGAGUGUUCAAAGCAGGCUUAUGCCAUUGAAUAUAUUAGCAUGGAAUAAUAAGAUAGGACUUUGGUACUAUUUUGUUGGUUUGCGCACCAAAGUAAUGAUUAAUAGGGACAGUUGGGGGUAUUCGUAUUCCGUUGUCAGAGGUGAAAUUCUUGGAUUUACGGAAGACGAACUACUGCGAAAGCAUUUACCAAGGAUGUUUUCAUUAA